Molecule: ribosomal RNA, 465 nt
Filed under: uncultured bacterium
Lineage: Bacteria
Description: bacterial SSU rRNA
Rfam family: Bacterial small subunit ribosomal RNA
Source: RNAcentral
UACCAGACUCCUACGGGAGGCAGCAGUGAGGAAUAUUGGUCAAUGGCCGCAGGGCUGAACCAGCCAAGUCGCGUGAGGGAUGACGGUCCUAUGGAUUGUAAACCUCUUUUGUCAGGGAGCAAAGGGCGCCACGUGUGGCGUUUUGCGAGUACCUGAAGAAAAAGCAUCGGCUAACUCCGUGCCAGCAGCCGCGGUAAUACGGAGGAUGCGAGCGUUAUCCGGAUUUAUUGGGUUUAAAGGGUGCGUAGGCGGAGUGUCAAGUCAGCGGUAAAAUUUCGGGGCUCAACCCCGUCGUGCCGUUGAAACUGACGCCCUUGAGUGAGUGAGAAGUAAGCGGAAUGCGUGGUGUAGCGGUGAAAUGCAUAGAUAUCGCGCAGAACUCCGAUUGCGAAGGCAGCAUGCCGGCUCCACACUGACGCUGAGGCACGAAAGCGUGGGUAUCGAACGGGAUUAGAUACCCGUGUA